RNAcentral lists this ribosomal RNA (465 nucleotides) under uncultured bacterium. RNAcentral describes it as "partial 16S ribosomal RNA". It matches the Rfam family "Bacterial small subunit ribosomal RNA", at positions 338 to 795 of the family's 1533-position model. The record is from RNAcentral.
CCUACGGGGGGCAGCAGUGGGGAAUAUUGCGCAAUGGGCGAAAGCCUGACGCAGCGACGCCGCGUGAGGGAUGAAGGUCUUCGGAUCGUAAACCUCUGUCAGCAGGGAAGAACGGUCACUGUGCUAAUCAGCAGUGAAUUGACGGUACCUGCAAAGGAAGCACCGGCUAACUCCGUGCCAGCAGCCGCGGUAAUACGGAGGGGGCGAGCGUUGAUCGGAAUUACUGGGCGUAAAGCGCUCGUAGGCGGUAUGUCAAGUCAAGGGUGAAAGCUCCGGGCUCAACGUGGGAACUGCCUUUGAUACUGGCAAACUUGAGUGCGGGAGAGGAUAGUGGAAUUCCAGGUGUAGGAGUGAAAUCCGUAGAUAUCUGGAGGAACAUCAGUGGCGAAGGCGACUAUCUGGCACAUAACUGACGCUGAGGAGCGAAAGCGUGGGUAGCAAACAGGAUUAGAUACCCGAGUAGUC